RNAcentral lists this ribosomal RNA (446 nucleotides) under marine bacterium W17. RNAcentral describes it as "bacterial SSU rRNA". It matches the Rfam family "Bacterial small subunit ribosomal RNA", at positions 584 to 1029 of the family's 1533-position model. The record is from RNAcentral.
UAAGUCAGAUGUGAAAGCCCGGGGCUCAACCUCGGAAUAGCAUUUGAAACUGGCAGACUAGAGUACUGUAGAGGGGGGUAGAAUUUCAGGUGUAGCGGUGAAAUGCGUAGAGAUCUGAAGGAAUACCGGUGGCGAAGGCGGCCCCCUGGACAGAUACUGACACUCAGAUGCGAAAGCGUGGGGAGCAAACAGGAUUAGAUACCCUGGUAGUCCACGCCGUAAACGAUGUCUACUUGGAGGUUGUGGCCUUGAGCCGUGGCUUUCGGAGCUAACGCGUUCAGAGGACCGCCUGGGGAGUACGGUCGCAAGAUUAAAACUCAAAUGAAUUGACGGGGGCCCGCACAAGCGGUGGAGCAUGUGGUUUAAUUCGAUGCAACGCGAAGAACCUUACCUACUCUUGACAUCCAGAGAACUUUCCAGAGAUGGAUUGGUGCCUUCGGGAACUC